AACCUUAGCUCUCUGUCAUCACAAAGAAGUUCACAUACGUUACAUAAAUGAAACGCAUGAACCAUGUCCUACCAAUUUGCUCAAUAUAGGUACAAACAUUUGUACGUUCGUCAUGGAUGAAUGGAUGUGAGCGUUGCAGAAAAGACCAGAUCCCAAGUAUCCGACGCUAGUUUUAAAAGUUGAAUGAAGAUGUCCUGGUGGUGAUGCUCUGUGACGGGGCUGAUCACGUGUCUGCACAUACAGAUGGUGUGGAUCAAUGCUCAUGCUUUUAGCCCCCCGAUUUGUCUUGUUUAUGACUUGUUUAUGUUUAUUGCCGUUAUGUAGCUGACUGCGGUGAUAAACAACAUUCACUCCAUCAAAUUCACGUGUAAUGGAUGUAUGCACGGUGACUGGCUUGCAGAUGUAUUGUUAGUUUUGAAAGCUAUCCUUAACUGAAUCUUCUCUUUCCUUCAGGGACCUUCUUCAACACCAACAACGACUGGAGGUAAUGAAACAUCAUUAAACCAUAACACUGCCAGCGCUGUGACGUCAUCGAUCUUCGGGACAGUUCUCUCCGUUGUGGGCGUGGCCACCGUUAGACAAGUGCUCUAGACCGUCCUUCUGACCAACGUCAACUGUACAAGGAGAAUACUUAUCACACAAAAGGGAACGUCAGAAUUGUAUAGAUGUAUUAUUAAGUGACAUUUCACCACCUAGAACUUCUUAUGUACACAGUUACUCUCAGAACAAUAACGUGUCUUUGUUCAUAUGUUUUAAAUAUUCAUUUUCUUUGAGGAUAUAGUUUUGGCAAUAUAGGUAUUUUCCUUGUGACAUAACCCCUGGCAAACUGACGUCACACUGUCUCCAUUUUCUACCUAUUUCCAUACCUUCCUGUUCUAAAUUGUCCAUGAUUAAGAAUUCCAACGAAGCCAUUUCUACUUGUCUCCCCGCUAAGACAAAGUACCACGUGUUUUGUACAGUGAGUUUAUAAGUAGCCGUUCUGUGGCAAUGACUUGGGUUCGCGUGAUCACAUGUUGUAAUGCUUGUUUGUUUGCUGUUUAACGCCGCACUCAGCAACAUUCCAGCUAUAUGACGGCGGUCUGUAAAUAAUGGAGUCUGGUCCAGACAAUCCAGUGAUUGACAUCCACUGCAAUCUGGCAAUCACUACAUGUUGUAAUGCAGUCAUAGAGAGACUGAAGUUUAUGAUUUUACCGUUGUAUCUGAAAUGACUUGCUAUAAAACCCUGUUCUGUAAUACACAAUAAUGAUUUUGCAAUAAAACACUGUUUCCGAUCUGU
Long non-coding RNA from Haliotis rufescens (red abalone), 1276 nucleotides. RefSeq lists it as uncharacterized. NCBI's taxonomy places the organism in Eukaryota, Metazoa, Mollusca, Gastropoda, Lepetellida, Haliotidae. The transcript has 3 exons. The record is from RefSeq and is a predicted model, not a curated record.